This 132-nucleotide microRNA precursor is filed under the name Medicago truncatula (barrel medic). RNAcentral's name for it is "MIR2599 microRNA precursor family". It matches the Rfam family "MIR2599 microRNA precursor family". Lineage: Eukaryota; Viridiplantae; Streptophyta; Magnoliopsida; Fabales; Fabaceae. The record is from Rfam by way of RNAcentral.
GUGGGUACAAGGAAUCUACUUUAUUCAGCACACUAACCUAAUUUCCGAGACAUGUUACAUGCCUGAAACAUGUCUUAGAAAUUAGGAUUUUUCUUGGUUUGUGUGCUGAACAAAGUAGAUUCCUUGUACCCA